AUUGAACGCUGGCGGCAGGCCUAACACAUGCAAGUCGAACGAGUGGCGGACGGGUGCGUAAUGUCUGGGAAACUGCCCGAUGGAGGGGGAUAACUACUGGAAACGGUAGCUAAUACCGCAUACCAUCUGAUGUGCCCCGAUGGGAUUAGGUGGUAGGUGGGGUAACUGCUCACCUAGGCGACGAUCCCUAGCUGGGCGGAGAGGAUGACCAGCCACACGGGAACUGAGACACGGCCCAGACUCCUACGGGAGGCAGCAGUGGGGAAUAUUGCACAAUGGGCGCAAGCCUGAUGCAGCCAUGCCGCGUGUAUGAAGAAGGCCUUCGGGUUGUAAAGUACUUUCAGCGAGGAGGCGUUACUCGCAGAAGAAGCACCGGCUAACUCCGUGCCAGCAGCCGCGGUAAUAC
RNAcentral lists this ribosomal RNA (406 nucleotides) under uncultured bacterium. RNAcentral's name for it is "partial 16S ribosomal RNA". It matches the Rfam family "Bacterial small subunit ribosomal RNA", at positions 30 to 526 of the family's 1533-position model. The record is from RNAcentral.